RNAcentral lists this ribosomal RNA (1214 nucleotides) under Paecilomyces niveus. RNAcentral's name for it is "SSU rRNA". It matches the Rfam family "Eukaryotic small subunit ribosomal RNA", at positions 638 to 1824 of the family's 1831-position model. The record is from RNAcentral. Lineage: Eukaryota; Fungi; Ascomycota; Eurotiomycetes; Eurotiales; Thermoascaceae.
AAUGGAACUAUCGAUUAAAUGCCCACUCUAGCUGGUUGAUUUCCGCAAGAUGUUCCCCUGAAGACACUGAGAUCUGGUGGCAUGUCCUCGGGGAAUCCGGACUCUCUGAUCAGCAUUUGGCUCGGACAUGUGUCUGGGAUGGAAUGUUCGAGGUGGGUGACAAGACACGAAAGGAUUACAUGUGCUUGUGGAGGGAAACGGGGCGUAAAAUAAUGUCUAUGAAGACUAGAUAGAUUGGUAGGGCUUCCUCCAGAGCAGCCAACUACGUAGCGAACCUGAAUGGUAUCGGAUAGUCGGGGGCGUCAGUAUUCAGCUGUCAGAGGUGAAAUUCUUGGAUUUGCUGAAGACUAACUACUGCGAAAGCAUUCGCCAAGGAUGUUUUCAUUAAUCAGGGAAAGAAAGUUAGGGGAUCGAUGACGAUCAGAUACCGUCGUAGUCUUAGCCAUAAACUAUGCCGACUAGGGAUCGGACGGUGUUCUAUGAUGACCCGUUCGGCACCUUGCGAGAAAUCAAAGUUUUUGGGUUCUGGGGGGAGUAUGGUCGCAAGGCUGAAACUUAAAGAAAUUGACGGAAGGUCACCACAAGGCGUGGAGCCUGCGGCUUAAUUUGACUCAACACGGGGAAACUCACCAGGUCCAGACAAAAUAAGGAUUGACAGAUUAAAAGCUCUUUCUUGAUCUUUUGGAUGGUGGUGCAUGGCCGUUCUUAGUUGGUGGAGUGAUUUGUCUGCUUAAUUGCGAUAACGAAUAAGACCUCGGCCCUUAAAUAGCCCGGUCCGCGUUUGCGGGCCGCUGGCUUCUUAGGGGGACUAUCGGCUCAAGCCGAUGGAAGUGUGCGGCAAUAACAGGUCUGUGAUGCCCUUAGAUAUUCUGGGCCGCACGCGCGCUACACUGAUAGGGCCAGCGAAUAUAUCACCUUGGCCGAGAGGUCUCGGUAAUCUUGUUAAACCCUAUCGUGCUGGGGAUAGAGCAUUACAAUUAUUACUCUUCAACGAGGAAUGCCUAGUAGGCACGAGUCAUCAGCUCGUGCCGAUUACGUCCCUGCCCUUUGUGCACACCGCCCGUCGCUACUACCGAUUGAAUGGCUCAGUGAGGCCUUCGGACUGGCUCAGGGGGGUUGGCAACGACCGCCCAGAGCCGGAAAGUUGAUCAAACUUGGUCAUUUAGAGGAAGUAAAAGUCGUAACAAGGUUUCCGUAGGUGAACCUGCGGAAGG